CCUCACCUGUCACUCCCUUCCCCUUUUUCAUGGUUACAGUCAAAGAGAGGCUAACAUCCUGCCACUACGUUUGGUGGCCACAAAAAUCCCCUCGCGCCAUUGCAUAGAUAGAGCCUCUCAAGCCACUUGGCAACUAGCAGGGCCUCACCUGUCACCAAACAAAGGAUUAAUUGUUUCGCCUUGCGGCAUUAGCUAGCAAGCCAGUACUAGCACACUGUGG
This is a non-coding RNA of Pelobates cultripes (western spadefoot toad), 220 nucleotides long. The record is from the annotation of a GenBank genome assembly. Lineage: Eukaryota; Metazoa; Chordata; Amphibia; Anura; Pelobatidae.